UGCAUCACCGGAAGUUGUUAACGGUCAGCAGUCUGUAAUUGCAGCUUGUGAUCACAGCUGUUGCCUUAUUAUCUUUUAAAAUUUUUAUUAUUCUCAUAAAGAGUUCGUUUAAUGUACUAUUCAGCGAUGGCACUGGCAAAAAAAAGGGGGGAAUUUGGAGCGCCAAGAGAAGCAUUCGUAAACGAUACACGGGAGCUACGAUGGUGACGUUGAUGCACUGAAGACGCUGCGAAAGUGCGACCGAUGUCGCCGCGUCAGGUCUCGAUUAAGAUGUACCUCAAAUUACGACGGGAACGGAUUCUGCAAUGGCAGCAUCCUUUCUCACUUCCAGGCGAUGAACAAGGGAGGCUCAUAACAUCAAUCAACGCUUGAAAAGCCAAGCCAUCUGGUGAAGUGGAAUUACAUUAGCCAUGCACAUAUACGCUCCUUCUGCUCCCUGCUGCCUCGGUGCCGUUCUCAAGCUGACAGGAAGGAAGCACUGAUUCCUGGGAGGUGGCAGCAUCAUAAAUCUACAGCUUAUUCACGGGGCCAAGCCGACCUUUACUGCGAGAGCCAAAACACAAGGUGACACAGCGAGAGAAGACGGAUGGCGAUGGAGCGCAAGGGAUGGAAAAAAACCCCAAAGAAGAAUAGAAGGCCAGUCACGUGUGAUGGACUUAAAGCUCGUCUGCGUCCGACACCUUUUGCGGUAAGAGAGAAACCGGUGGUGGCGUCCGCUC
This is a long non-coding RNA of Hippocampus zosterae (dwarf seahorse), 719 nucleotides long. RefSeq lists it as uncharacterized. The record is from RefSeq and is a predicted model, not a curated record. The transcript is spliced from 4 exons. Lineage: Eukaryota; Metazoa; Chordata; Actinopteri; Syngnathiformes; Syngnathidae.